GCCCCGGUAGCUCGGUGUUAGAGCUCCUAGAAGAGGUGAACUAAAAGUGGUCUCAGGUUAAGAAGGUCUCCGUCAAUAAUUCAAAGGAGGUUUCAGGUUCGAAUCCUGCCCGGUGGCU
Non-coding RNA from Meloidogyne enterolobii, 118 nucleotides. The record is from the annotation of a GenBank genome assembly. NCBI's taxonomy places the organism in Eukaryota, Metazoa, Nematoda, Chromadorea, Rhabditida, Meloidogynidae.